GAUUUUAAAAUAUUAUUUUGUUUAACUAUUAUUUUAUUUGUUUAAUUAAAUUAAUUUUUAUUGGUAUUGUUUAAGUAUUUUUUAGAAUAGAUUCUUGUAAUUAUAGUUUAUUAGUAAUGUAAAUGAAUUUAUUGAAUUUUGAUUAGUUAAUAAGUACUUUUUUAGGGUACCUUUUGUAUCAGGGUUGAUAAAUAUUAUUUUGUUGAUUAUAUUUCUCUCGAUUUAGGUUGAUUUAAAAUCAUAUUAUUUUUAUCGUAUUAUAGAUAUUUUAAAUUUGGUUUUAGAAGUGAAAUGUUAACCGUUUCCUAAUAUAUCUAGUUCCUCAAGUAAAGAUUUAAUUUUAUAAGGUUAUUGAUUAUUUAUUAAUUUUAAUUUUUAAUUAGUUUCCUGUUAAUACUUUAGGGGAUAAGCUCUUUAGUGAUUUUAUUCUAUAAUUUUAUUAUUUUUAUUUAAAAGUAGGCUUUAAACUGGCUAUCUUUUUGAUUACGUUUUAGUUCAUUUUAUUUUUUUUUAUGAUUUUAUAAAUUUUUUAGGUUUUAUAUUGGGGUAAUUAAAUUGAUUUUAAAUUUAUUGUAAUAAUGAUUGAAUUAGUAUAUUUAAUUGUAUGAAUUUUUUAUGAUUUUAUUUUAAUUUAAGGAAUUAGGCAAAAUUACUCUUCGCCUGUUUAUCAAAAACAUGUCUUUUUGAUUAAAAUUUAAGGUUUGACCUGCUCACUGAAUUAUUUGAAGAGCCGCGGUAUUAUGACCGUGCAAAGGUAGCAUAAUCAUUAGUCUUUUAAUUUGAGGCUGGAAUGAAUGGUUUGACGAGGGGGUGACUGUCUCAAUUUUAAUUGAUAAAAUUUAACCUUUAAGUUAAAAGGCUUAAAUUUGAUUUUAGGACGAAAAGACCCUAUAGAGCUUUAUAUAUCAUUUAUAAUUGAUUUACUGUUAUUUUAUUUCGUUUAUUAAGACUAUAUUUUGUUGGGGUGACAUGAAGAAUAAUUAAACUCUUUAUUUUUAAUAUCAUUUAUUUAUGAUUGCUUGAUCCAUAAUUUGUGAUUAUAAGACUAAGUUACCUUAGGGAUAACAGCGUAAUUGUUUUUUAGAGUUCAUAUCAACAAGACUGAUUGCGACCUCGAUGUUGGAUUAAGAUUAGUACUAGGUGUAUCAGUUUAGUAGCUAGGUCUGUUCGACCUUUAAAUUCUUACAUGAUCUGAGUUCAAACCGGCGUAAGCCAGGUUGGUUUCUAUCCUAAAUUUUCAAAUAUUGUAUUAGUACGAGAGGACCGUAUAAUUUGAAAAUCUUCUUUGUUUAUGAUUAUUAAUAAUUU
Molecule: ribosomal RNA, 1308 nt
Filed under: Atractomorpha psittacina
Lineage: Eukaryota; Metazoa; Arthropoda; Insecta; Orthoptera; Pyrgomorphidae
Also listed under: 1 other name
Description: 16S ribosomal RNA
Rfam family: Archaeal large subunit ribosomal RNA (bases 876-1230)
Source: RNAcentral